RNAcentral lists this ribosomal RNA (301 nucleotides) under uncultured bacterium. Its description in RNAcentral is "partial 16S ribosomal RNA". It matches the Rfam family "Bacterial small subunit ribosomal RNA", at positions 509 to 807 of the family's 1533-position model. The record is from RNAcentral.
CAGUCGCCGCGGUAAUACGUAGGUGGCAAGCGUUGUCCGGAAUUAUUGGGCGUAAAGGGCUCGCAGGCGGUUUCUUAAGUCUGAUGUGAAAGCCCCCGGCUCAACCGGGGAGGGUCAUUGGAAACUGGGAAACUUGAGUGCAGAAGAGGAGAGUGGAAUUCCACGUGUAGCGGUGAAAUGCGUAGAGAUUAGGAGGAACACCAGUGGCGAAGGCGGCUUUUUGGCCUGUAACUGACACUGAGGCGCGAAAGCGUGGGGAGCAAACAGGAUUAGAUACCCGCGUAGUCCCUGUCUCUUAUAC